Molecule: ribosomal RNA, 468 nt
Filed under: uncultured bacterium
Lineage: Bacteria
Description: partial 16S ribosomal RNA
Rfam family: Bacterial small subunit ribosomal RNA
Source: RNAcentral
GACGAACGCUGGCGGCGUGCUUAACACAUGCAAGUCGAACGGAAAGGUCCUGCUUUUGUGGGGUGCUCGAGUGGCGAACGGGUGAGUAACACGUGAGUAACCUGCCCUUGACUUUGGGAUAACUUCAGGAAACUGGGGCUAAUACCGGAUAGGAGCUCCUGCUGCAUGGUGGGGGUUGGAAAGUUUCGGCGGUUGGGGAUGGACUCGCGGCUUAUCAGCUUGUUGGUGGGGUAGUGGCUUACCAAGGCUUUGACGGGUAGCCGGCCUGAGAGGGUGACCGGCCACAUUGGGACUGAGAUACGGCCCAGACUCCUACGGGAGGCAGCAGUGGGGAAUAUUGCACAAUGGGCGGAAGCCUGAUGCAGCAACGCAGCGUGCGGGAUGACGGCCUUCGGGUUGUAAACCGCUUUCGCCUGUGACGAAGCGUGAGUGACGGUAAUGGGUAAAGAAGCACCGGCUAACUACGUG